Molecule: non-coding RNA, 79 nt
Organism: Thauera sp. 27
Lineage: Bacteria; Pseudomonadati; Pseudomonadota; Betaproteobacteria; Rhodocyclales; Zoogloeaceae
Source: Rfam
CUGGGCGUCUGGAGACGGACGCUGAAUAUCGUGGAGAGGUCAGCAGAGGGCAUAGUAGGCGGCGCCACCGCCGAAGGCC